GAUGAAGAACGUAGCGAAAUGCGAUAAGUAAUGUGAAUUGCAGAAUUCAGUGAAUCAUCGAAUCUUUGAACGCACAUUGCGCCACUUGGUAUUCCGAGGGGCAUGCCUGUUCGAGCGUCAUUAUAACCCCUCAAGCUCAGCUUGGUGUUGGGGCCUGCUGCACUGGCAGCCCUUAAAAUCAGUGGCGGCGCCAUCUGGCUCUAAGCGUAGUAAUUCUUCUCGCUAUGGAGUCCUGGUGGAUGCUUGCCAUCAACCCCCAAUUUUUCUAUGGUUGACCUCGGAUCAGGUAGGGAUACCCGCUGAACUUAAGCAUAUCAAUAAGCGGAGGA
Molecule: unclassified non-coding RNA, 329 nt
Filed under: soil metagenome
Description: partial contains 5.8S ribosomal RNA, internal transcribed spacer 2, and large subunit ribosomal RNA
Rfam family: 5.8S ribosomal RNA (bases 1-120)
Source: RNAcentral